RNAcentral lists this ribosomal RNA (1209 nucleotides) under metagenome. RNAcentral's name for it is "bacterial LSU rRNA". It matches the Rfam family "Bacterial large subunit ribosomal RNA", at positions 1634 to 2835 of the family's 2925-position model. The record is from RNAcentral.
CCAUACAACCGUACCGCAAACCGACACUGGUGCGCGAGAUGAGUAUUCUAAGGCGCUUGAGAGAACUCAGGAGAAGGAACUCGGCAAAUUGACACCGUAACUUCGGAAGAAGGUGUGCCCUAUUAGUGUGUAGUGAACAACGAAGCAUGAAUGGGUUGCAAAAAAUCGGUGGCUGCGACUGUUUAUUAAAAACACAGCACUCUGCAAACACGAAAGUGGACGUAUAGGGUGUGACGCCUGCCCGGUGCUGGAAGAUUAAAUGAUGGGGUGCAAGCUCUUGAUUGAAGUCCCAGUAAACGGCGGCCGUAACAAUAACGGUCCUAAGGUAGCGAAAUUCCUUGUCGGGUAAGUUCCGACCUGCACGAAUGGCGUAACGAUGGCCACACUGUCUCCUCCUGAGACUCAGCGAAGUUGAAAUGUUUGUGAUGAUGCAAUCUCCCCGCGGAAAGACGGAAAGACCCCAUGAACCUUUACUGUAGCUUUGUAUUGGACUUUGAACAGAUCUGUGUAGGAUAGGUGGGAGGCUUUGAAGCAGGGUCGCUAGAUCUUGUGGAGCCAACGUUGAAAUACCACCCUGGUGUGUUUGAGGUUCUAACCUAGGUCCAUUAUCUGGAUCGGGGACAGUGCAUGGUAGGCAGUUUGACUGGGGCGGUCUCCUCCCAAAGCGUAACGGAGGAGUUCGAAGGUACGCUAGUUACGGUCGGACAUCGUGACGAUAGUGCAAUGGCAUAAGCGUGCUUAACUGCGAGACUGACAAGUCGAGCAGAUGCGAAAGCAGGACAUAGUGAUCCGGUGGUUCUGUAUGGAAGGGCCAUCGCUCAACGGAUAAAGGGUACUCUGGGGAUAACAGGCUGAUACCGCCCAAGAGUUCAUAUCGACGGCGGUGUUUGGCACCUCGAUGUCGGCUCAUCUCAUCCUGGGGCUGUAGCCGGUCCCAAGGGUAUGGCUGUUCGCCAUUUAAAGAGGUACGUGAGCUGGGUUUAAAACGUCGUGAGACAGUUUGGUCCCUAUCUUCCGUGGGCGCUGCAGAUUUGAGGAAGCCUGCUCCUAGUACGAGAGGACCGGAGUGGACACACCUCUGGUGUAUCGGUUGUCACGCCAGUGGCAUUGCCGAGUAGCUAAGUGUGGAAGAGAUAACCGCUGAAAGCAUCUAAGCGGGAAACUCGUUUCAAGAUGAGAUCUGCCGGGGCCUUGAGCCCCCCAAAGAGC